UGGGGAAUCUUGGACAAUGGGGGCAACCCUGAUCCAGCCAUGCCGCGUGAGUGAUGAAGGCCUUAGGGUCGUAAAGCUCUUUCGCCUGUGAAGAUAAUGACGGUAGCAGGUAAAGAAACCCCGGCUAACUCCGUGCCAGCAGCCGCGGUAAUACGGAGGGGGUUAGCGUUGUUCGGAAUUACUGGGCGUAAAGCGCACGUAGGCGGACCAGAAAGUUGGGGGUGAAAUCCCGGGGCUCAACCCCGGAACUGCCUCCAAAACUAUUGGUCUAGAGUUCGAGAGAGGUGAGUGGAAUUCCAAGUGUAGAGGUGAAAUUCGUAGAUAUUUGGAGGAACACCAGUGGCGAAGGCGGCUCACUGGCUCGAUACUGACGCUGAGGUGCGAAAGUGUGGGGAGCAAACAGGAUUAG
RNAcentral lists this ribosomal RNA (409 nucleotides) under uncultured bacterium. RNAcentral's name for it is "bacterial SSU rRNA". It matches the Rfam family "Bacterial small subunit ribosomal RNA", at positions 355 to 781 of the family's 1533-position model. The record is from RNAcentral.